GAGAAUUGUGAUUGCUUGCAAGGUAAUUUCGUUUUCUUUUUUCCAUUCUAAAUUUCUCAUUGAUCUACUUCAUGCAAUUGGACGAUAUGAGAUCUGAAUUUCGCAGAGUAAUUAUUGCUCUUCUGUUUUUGUUUUUCUUGUUGUCGCAAUUGUCGUAGUACACUGUUCUGAGUGUGAGUGUUGUGCUGCUUCUAUUUUAGCUACUUUUCCGUUGCUGAAGUUGUGUUGUCAUUUUCAUACGCUUCUUUUAGAACUAUUUUUACUGCAUUGUGUAGUGAAGCAAAUAAAUAAACCUUGAUUGGUAG
RNAcentral lists this unclassified non-coding RNA (305 nucleotides) under Hevea brasiliensis (rubber tree). Lineage: Eukaryota; Viridiplantae; Streptophyta; Magnoliopsida; Malpighiales; Euphorbiaceae. The record is from RNAcentral.